GGGAUUGUGGCUCAGCGGUAGAGCACUUACCUAGCACGUACAAGGCCCUGGGUUUGAUUCUCAGCACCA
RNAcentral lists this transfer RNA (69 nucleotides) under Ictidomys tridecemlineatus (thirteen-lined ground squirrel). RNAcentral's name for it is "Spermophilus tridecemlineatus (thirteen-lined ground squirrel) tRNA". It matches the Rfam family "tRNA". Rfam says of the family: Transfer RNA (tRNA) molecules are approximately 80 nucleotides in length. The record is from Rfam by way of RNAcentral. Lineage: Eukaryota; Metazoa; Chordata; Mammalia; Rodentia; Sciuridae.